Molecule: transfer RNA, 119 nt
Rfam family: tRNA
About the family: Transfer RNA (tRNA) molecules are approximately 80 nucleotides in length.
GGCAAGAUGGCCGAGUGGUUAAGGCGUACCGUUCAAGUUACAUGAACACUUGGAAAUUCCUAAGAAUUUCCUGUUCCGGUAUGGGGAAACCCGCGUGAGUUCGAGUCUCGCUCUUGUCA